UGUUAAAAACUUUAUCCAUUUCUACUGUUCAAAACCAAUGUGGCUAACAGAAUAAUUAGAUAGUUACAUAUAGAGUGCCACACGUACUCCAUGCUCAUAUAUGGAGACUAGUUUUUAAUAAUAGAAAUAGAUUAAAAAAUUUAACA
Molecule: non-coding RNA, 146 nt
Organism: Gossypium arboreum
Lineage: Eukaryota; Viridiplantae; Streptophyta; Magnoliopsida; Malvales; Malvaceae
Source: Rfam